RNAcentral lists this non-coding RNA (23 nucleotides) under Arabidopsis thaliana (thale cress). The record is from RNAcentral. Lineage: Eukaryota; Viridiplantae; Streptophyta; Magnoliopsida; Brassicales; Brassicaceae.
CAAGUUUAUGUAUGAUCGAUAAU